This 303-nucleotide ribosomal RNA is filed under the name uncultured bacterium. RNAcentral describes it as "partial 16S ribosomal RNA". It matches the Rfam family "Bacterial small subunit ribosomal RNA", at positions 507 to 809 of the family's 1533-position model. The record is from RNAcentral.
AGCAGCAGCCGCGGGAAUACGUAGGUGGCAAGCGUUGUCCGGAAUUAUUGGGCGUAAAGGGCUCGCAGGCGGUUUCUUAAGUCUGAUGUGAAAGCCCCCGGCUCAACCGGGGAGGGUCAUUGGAAACUGGGAAACUUGAGUGCAGAAGAGGAGAGUGGAAUUCCACGUGUAGCGGUGAAAUGCGUAGAGAUGUGGAGGAACACCAGUGGCGAAGGCGACUCUCUGGUCUGUAACUGACGCUGAGGAGCGAAAGCGUGGGGAGCGAACAGGAUUAGAUACCCGAGUAGUCCCUGUCUCUUAUAU